This 277-nucleotide ribosomal RNA is filed under the name uncultured bacterium. RNAcentral's name for it is "partial 16S ribosomal RNA". It matches the Rfam family "Bacterial small subunit ribosomal RNA", at positions 28 to 303 of the family's 1533-position model. The record is from RNAcentral.
GAUGAACGCUAGCGGCAGGCUUAAUACAUGCAAGUCGAACGGUAAGCUUGGUAGCAAUACUAAGUCAAGAGUGACGUACGGGUGCGUAACACGUAUGCAACCUACCUUGUACAGGAGGAUAGCUCGGGGAAACUCGAAUUAACCCUCCAUAAUAUAUUUGAAUGGCAUCAUUUGAAUAUUAAAACCUUGGUGGUACAAGAUGGGCAUGCGUCUGAUUAGUUAGUUGGAGUGUAAUGGACUACCAAGACGAUGAUCAGUAGGGGACCUGAGAGGGUGA